RNAcentral lists this ribosomal RNA (907 nucleotides) under uncultured Bacillota bacterium. RNAcentral describes it as "bacterial SSU rRNA". It matches the Rfam family "Bacterial small subunit ribosomal RNA", at positions 11 to 917 of the family's 1533-position model. Lineage: Bacteria; Bacillati; Bacillota. The record is from RNAcentral.
CUUUGAUUAUGGCUCAGGACGAACGCUGGCGGCGUGCCUAACACAUGCAAGUCGAACGAAGCUUGAUUUAUGAUUUCUUCGGAAUGAAUAAUGAUAUGACUGAGUGGCGGACGGGUGAGUAACGCGUGAGCAACCUGCCCUUCGGAACGGGAUAGCGUCUGGAAACGGACGGUAAUACCGUAUAACGUAUUUUUACCGCAUGAUAGAAAUACCAAAACUGAGGUGCCGAAGGAUGGGCUCGCGUCUGAUUAGAUAGUUGGUGGGGUAACGGCCUACCAAGUCGACGAUCAGUAGCCGGACUGAGAGGUUGAACGGCCACAUCGGGACUGAGACACGGCCCAGACUCCUACGGGAGGCAGCAGUGGGGAAUAUUGCACAAUGGGGGAAACCCUGAUGCAGCAACGCCGCGUGAAGGAAGACGGUUUUCGGAUUGUAAACUUCUGUUCUUAGUGAAGAUAAUGACGGUAGCUAAGGAGCAAGCCACGGCUAACUACGUGCCAGCAGCCGCGGUAAUACGUAGGUGGCAAGCGUUGUCCGGAAUUACUGGGUGUAAGGGGAGCGUAGGCGGGAAGCCAAGUCAGCUGUGAAAACUACGGGCUUAACCUGUAGACUGCAGUUGAAACUGGUUUUCUUGAGUGAAGUAGAGGUUGGCGGAAUUCCGAGUGUAGCGGUGAAAUGCGUAGAUAUUCGGAGGAACACCGGUGGCGAAGGCGGCCAACUGAGCUUUAACUGACGCUGAGGCUCGAAAGUGUGGGGAGCAAACAGGAUUAGAUACCCUGGUAGUCCACACUGUAAACGAUGAUAACUAGGUGUGGGGGGUCUGACCCCUUCCGUGCCGCAGCUAACGCAAUAAGUUAUCCACCUGGGGAGUACGACCGCAAGGUUGCAACUCAAAGGAAUUGACGGA